This 62-nucleotide transfer RNA is filed under the name Staphylinidae sp. BMNH 1274674. RNAcentral describes it as "tRNA-Ser". The record is from RNAcentral. Lineage: Eukaryota; Metazoa; Arthropoda; Insecta; Coleoptera; Staphylinidae.
GAAAUAAAAAAAUUAUUAAGCUUCUAACUUAAUCUCUAGCGAUAAAAUUCGUUAUUAUUUCU